CUUUCGGGGUACACGAGCGGCGAACGGGUGAGUAACACGUGGGUGAUCUGCCCUGCACUUCGGGAUAAGCCUGGGAAACUGGGUCUAAUACCGGAUAUGACCUCCUAUCGCAUGGUGGGUGGUGGAAAGAUUUAUCGGUGCAGGAUGGGCCCGCGGCCUAUCAGCUUGUUGGUGGGGUAAUGGCCUACCAAGGCGACGACGGGUAGCCGACCUGAGAGGGUGACCGGCCACACUGGGACUGAGACACGGCCCAGACUCCUACGGGAGGCAGCAGUGGGGAAUAUUGCACAAUGGGCGAAAGCCUGAUGCAGCGACGCCGCGUGAGGGAUGACGGCCUUCGGGUUGUAAACCUCUUUCAGCAGGGACGAAGCGCAAGUGACGGUACCUGCAGAAGAAGCACCGGCUAACUACGUGCCAGCAGCCGCGGUAAUACGUAGGGUGCAAGCGUUGUCCGGAAUUACUGGGCGUAAAGAGUUCGUAGGCGGUUUGUCGCGUCGUUUGUGAAAACCAGCAGCUCAACUGCUGGCUUGCAGGCGAUACGGGCAGACUUGAGUACUGCAGGGGAGACUGGAAUUCCUGGUGUAGCGGUGAAAUGCGCAGAUAUCAGGAGGAACACCGGUGGCGAAGGCGGGUCUCUGGGCAGUAACUGACGCUGAGGAACGAAAGCGUGGGUAGCGAACAGGAUUAGAUACCCUGGUAGUCCACGCCGUAAACGGUGGGCGCUAGGUGUGGGUUCCUUC
Molecule: ribosomal RNA, 740 nt
Filed under: Rhodococcus qingshengii
Lineage: Bacteria; Bacillati; Actinomycetota; Actinomycetes; Mycobacteriales; Nocardiaceae
Description: bacterial SSU rRNA
Rfam family: Bacterial small subunit ribosomal RNA
Source: RNAcentral